GUUCUGUAUCUAGCCAAGACAUAGCUAUUAGAAUAAGCUUCACAAGACUUCCUAGUUAAGCAAAUGAAUAACUUCCUUCUUUUAUUUUUAAGCUGUUAUGAGUCAGGAUUCUGCCAUCUGCAACAGAAAGAGUCCUAACUGAGACACAUGUAUUUUCUGGUCUGGCGAAAUUCUAAUCCGCAUAUGAGAUGCAGCUCAUAUGCUGCUACCACUCAGAAGCACCUGUAUUCAUCAGCCCAGCCAUGUUCAUUCCCUCAUUCAUAUCACAAACUCCUCAUGUCUUUAUCAUGACACUCAUUUGCUUAGUACAUAUGUGAUGAGCACUCACCAGGCCCCAGCAGUAUGGACUCCUGAAAUAAAUCUGAUGUUGUUAAGGAUCCCAGAGUCUAGCAGAGGAGAUAUACAGCAAAAAAGUCACAAAAAUCCUGAAGCCGUGAGAGAUCUGUCAAUAAAGGAGAAAAUAGGCUUCCGUGGAAGCAAAAGG
This 484-nucleotide long non-coding RNA is filed under the name Heterocephalus glaber (naked mole-rat). Its description in RNAcentral is "lncRNA (ENSHGLG00000049923.1)". The record is from RNAcentral. Lineage: Eukaryota; Metazoa; Chordata; Mammalia; Rodentia; Bathyergidae.